AGAGAGAGACAUGCGCGCAUAUCAAUAAGCGGAGGAAAAGAAACUAACAAGGAUCCCCUUAGUAACGGCGAGUGAAGCGGGAAGAGCUCAAAUUUGAAAUCUUCAAGGUUUUACCUUGACGAAUUGUAGUUUAAAGAAGUGUUUUCUGCUGAAGUUUUGGUAAAAGUUCUUUGGAAUAGGACAUCAUAGAGGGUGAGAAUCCCGUAUUUGACCAUUAUUUUCAGCUUUGUGAUACACUUUCAAAGAGUCGGAUUGUUUGGGAAUGCAGUCCAAAAUGGGUGGUAAAUUUCAUCUAAAGCUAAAUAUUGGCGAGAGACCGAUAGCGAACAAGUACCGUGAGGGAAAGAUGAAAAGAACUUUGAAAAGAGAGUUAAACAGUACGUGAAAUUGUCAAAAGGGAAGCGUUUGACACCAGUGUUGUUUUCUCGAAAAUCAAUUAAAAAUGGCUCGAUUUUGUAUUGUUGAGACCUUAAAAGCUCACUGUACAUUUUUCGUGUCUUUUUUAAUGCACUUUUCGUUUAACAAGUCAACAUCAGUUUCUUUUGUUGUAAAAGGGUCAUUGGAAGGUGGCUUUCUUUUCGGAGAAAGUGUUUAUAGCCUUUGGCCUCUGCAAUCGGAGAGACUGAGGUCUGCAGCGUAGGACUCCUUCGGGGUUAGAUACAUUUGUGCUAAGUUAUAGCUUUUUAUAGACAACUUGUUGACUAUAAUUAGUCUUGUAGCUUACUCGCUUAUGCUAUUUUACCUACGCUUAGGAUGUUGAAGAUGUAGCACAUCAU
This 776-nucleotide ribosomal RNA is filed under the name uncultured Neocallimastigales. RNAcentral's name for it is "partial large subunit ribosomal RNA". It matches the Rfam family "Eukaryotic large subunit ribosomal RNA", at positions 23 to 634 of the family's 3401-position model. Lineage: Eukaryota; Fungi; Neocallimastigomycota; Neocallimastigomycetes; Neocallimastigales. The record is from RNAcentral.